CACUCCUACGGGAGGCAGCAGUGGGGAAUUUUGGACAAUGGGCGAAAGCCUGAUCCAGCAAUGCCGCGUGAGUGAAGAAGGCCUUCGGGUUGUAAAGCUCUUUUGUCAGGGAAGAAACGGUGAAAGCUAAUAUCUUUUGCUAAUGACGGUACCUGAAGAAUAAGCACCGGCUAACUACGUGCCAGCAGCCGCGGUAAUACGUAGGGUGCAAGCGUUAAUCGGAAUUACUGGGCGUAAAGCGUGCGCAGGCGGUUUUGUAAGUCUGAUGUGAAAUCCCCGGGCUCAACCUGGGAAUUGCAUUGGAGACUGCAAGGCUAGAAUCUGGCAGAGGGGGGUAGAAUUCCACGUGUAGCAGUGAAAUGCGUAGAUAAGUGGAGGAACACCGAUGGCGAAGGCAGCCCCCUGGGUCAAGAUUGACGCUCAUGCACGAAAGCGUGGGGAGCAAACAGGAUUAGAAACCCUUGUAGUCCCAUGAU
Molecule: ribosomal RNA, 476 nt
Filed under: uncultured organism
Description: partial 16S ribosomal RNA
Rfam family: Bacterial small subunit ribosomal RNA
Source: RNAcentral